AUAAAGUUUUAUUCUAGCUUAUAUUACUUUUUAUAAGAUUAUUUUACAUGUAAAUUUUAGUAAGAUUAAAGUAAAAUCUAAAAGAUUUAUUAUUAGAUUAAUUAAGCGCAGUAUUUUACAUUAAUAUUAUCAAUUUAGGUUGGAUUUAGUGAAUUUUAUAAUUCUGGUAAAAUUUGUGCCAGCCACCGCGGUUAAACAAAAGGGGUAAAAGAGUAUUAUUAGUUAUAGUUAAUUUUUAUAAAAAGGUUAAAUAAAUAUUGUUAUUGUUAGGUGAAAUUUUAAAACAUAUAAUAAACUAAAAUAAAUAUUAAAUGAAGCUGUAAAAAUUAGUAAAUAAACUAGGAUUAGAUACCCUAUUAUUCUAAUUGUUAAUUUUAGGCUUGAGUAGUAAUAGUUAUGUUCUUAAAACUCAAAGAAUUUGGCGGUGUUUUAGUCUUAUCAGAGGAAUUUGUCCCAUAAUCGAUAGUCCACGUUUUACUUUACUUAAUUUGGUUUACAGCCUGUAUACCGCCGUCAGCAGGAUAUAUUUAGAAAUUAUAUUCAAGAAUUAUAAGUAAAAGUAUGUCAGGUCAAGGUGCAGUUUAUAGUUAAGAGGAGAUGAAUUACAAUAUAAGUAUAUAUAAUGGAUUUUUAAUUGGAAGUUUAAAAUAAAGGUGGAUUUGGGUGUAAUAAAAUUAAGAUAUAUUUUAUGAUAUAAAGCUCUAAAACAUGCACACAUCGCCCGUCGCUCUCAUUUUAAGGUGAGAUAAGUCGUAACAUAGUAGAUGUACCGGAAGGUGUCUCUAGAAAGUU
RNAcentral lists this non-coding RNA (792 nucleotides) under Ephemera serica. Lineage: Eukaryota; Metazoa; Arthropoda; Insecta; Ephemeroptera; Ephemeridae. The record is from RNAcentral.